UAGGGAAUCUUCGGCAAUGGGGGGAACCCUGACCGAGCAACGCCGCGUGAGUGAAGAAGGUUUUCGGAUCGUAAAGCUCUGUUGUUAAGGAAGAACGAGUGUGAGAAUGGAAAGUUCAUGCUGUGACGGUACUUAACCAGAAAGGGACGGCUAACUACGUGCCAGCAGCCGCGGUAAUACGUAGGUCCCGAGCGUUGUCCGGAUUUAUUGGGCGUAAAGCGAGCGCAGGCGGUUAGAAAAGUCUGAAGUGAAAGGCAGUGGCUCAACCAUUGUAGGCUUUGGAAACUGUUUAACUUGAGUGCAGAAGGGGAGAGUGGAAGUCCAUGUGUAGCGAUGAAAUGCGUAGAUGUAUGGAGGAACACCGGUGGCGAAAGCGGCUCUCUGGUCUGUAACUGACGCUGAGGCUCGAAAGCGUGGGGAGCGAACAGG
RNAcentral lists this ribosomal RNA (429 nucleotides) under Verrucomicrobiota bacterium. RNAcentral describes it as "Verrucomicrobia bacterium partial 16S ribosomal RNA". It matches the Rfam family "Bacterial small subunit ribosomal RNA", at positions 355 to 776 of the family's 1533-position model. The record is from RNAcentral. Lineage: Bacteria; Pseudomonadati; Verrucomicrobiota.